This 209-nucleotide unclassified non-coding RNA is filed under the name Hevea brasiliensis (rubber tree). The record is from RNAcentral. Lineage: Eukaryota; Viridiplantae; Streptophyta; Magnoliopsida; Malpighiales; Euphorbiaceae.
AAAAUUCCUUUUCAUCUGCCACUGAAAAAUGAUUCAGGAUCCUUCCUUCGGUAUCGAUUUGCCUUCGCUAUAAAUUGUUACUUCAGCAAAAAAGCGGAGAUUCUAAAGAUUGGUUCUGUGGUAGCUGGUAGUGACUCCGCUUGUUUGUUCUUUUUCUUCUUUAUUGUUCUUGUUGAGUGGCUAUCUACCAAAUCAAAAACCCUAGGUGC